RNAcentral lists this ribosomal RNA (935 nucleotides) under Candidatus Phytoplasma asteris-related phytoplasma. RNAcentral's name for it is "bacterial SSU rRNA". It matches the Rfam family "Bacterial small subunit ribosomal RNA", at positions 217 to 1161 of the family's 1533-position model. Lineage: Bacteria; Bacillati; Mycoplasmatota; Mollicutes; Acholeplasmatales; Acholeplasmataceae. The record is from RNAcentral.
GCUUAGGGAGGAGCUUGCGUCACAUUAGUUAGUUGGUGGGGUAAAGGCCUACCAAGACUAUGAUGUGUAGCCGGGCUGAGAGGUUGAACGGCCACAUUGGGACUGAGACACGGCCCAAACUCCUACGGGAGGCAGCAGUAGGGAAUUUUCGGCAAUGGAGGAAACUCUGACCGAGCAACGCCGCGUGAACGAUGAAGUAUUUCGGUACGUAAAGUUCUUUUAUUAGGGAAGAAUAAAUGAUGGAAAAAUCAUUCUGACGGUACCUAAUGAAUAAGCCCCGGCUAACUAUGUGCCAGCAGCCGCGGUAAUACAUAGGGGGCAAGCGUUAUCCGGAAUUAUUGGGCGUAAAGGGUGCGUAGGCUGUUAAAUAAGUUUAUGGUCUAAGUGCAAUGCUCAACAUUGUGAUGCUAUAAAAACNGUUUAGCUAGAGUAAGAUAGAGGCAAGUGGAAUUCCAUGUGUAGUGGUAAAAUGCGUAAAUAUAUGGAGGAACACCAGUAGCGAAGGCGGCUUGCUGGGUCUUUACUGACGCUGAGGCACGAAAGCGUGGGGAGCAAACAGGAUUAGAUACCCUGGUAGUCCACGCCGUAAACGAUGAGUACUAAACGUUGGGUAAAACCAGUGUUGAAGUUAACACAUUAAGUACUCCGCCUGAGUAGUACGUACGCAAGUAUGAAACUUAAAGGAAUUGACGGGACUCCGCACAAGCGGUGGAUCAUGUUGUUUAAUUCGAAGGUACCCGAAAAACCUCACCAGGUCUUGACAUGCUUCUGCAAAGCUGUAGAAACACAGUGGAGGUUAUCAGUUGCACAGGUGGUGCAUGGUUGUCGUCAGCUCGUGUCGUGAGAUGUUGGGUUAAGUCCCGCAACGAGCGCAACCCUUAUUGUUAGUUGCCAGCACGUAAUGGUGGGGACUUUAGCAAGACUGCCAGUGAUAA